UUAACCGUAUAUGUUUUGGUUUUUUUGUGUUAUUCACGUCUCCAGAGCUAACCGUACAGAUGUUGUGAUGGGGUCCUUCACUGGUCCUUGGCUGAUUGCUGAUAGGGGGAGAGUUUAAUAUAAAUGGGAUGCACAAAACUGGCGAUGUGAUUCUAGGUGGGAUUUUUCAAAUCAACUUAUUUUCUGCUGAUCCUGACCUGACUUUUACCUCAGAGCCACAGCUGCCUACCUGUUAUGGUUUGGAAAUUAUAGGAUUGAGGCAGGCUCAGACCAUGGCCUUUGCUAUUGAUGAGAUCAACAGAAACUCCAAC
This is a long non-coding RNA of Solea senegalensis (Senegalese sole), 311 nucleotides long. RefSeq lists it as uncharacterized. NCBI's taxonomy places the organism in Eukaryota, Metazoa, Chordata, Actinopteri, Pleuronectiformes, Soleidae. The record is from RefSeq and is a predicted model, not a curated record. The transcript has 3 exons.